UACGGGAGGCAGCAGUGGGGAAUAUUGCACAAUGGGGGAAACCCUGAUGCAGCGACGCCGCGUGAAGGAUGAAGUAUUUCGGUAUGUAAACUUCUAUCAGCAGGGAAGAAAAUGACGUAC
This 120-nucleotide ribosomal RNA is filed under the name uncultured Bacillota bacterium. RNAcentral's name for it is "uncultured Firmicutes bacterium partial 16S ribosomal RNA". It matches the Rfam family "Bacterial small subunit ribosomal RNA", at positions 340 to 459 of the family's 1533-position model. Lineage: Bacteria; Bacillati; Bacillota. The record is from RNAcentral.